This is a small nucleolar RNA of Jaculus jaculus (lesser Egyptian jerboa), 135 nucleotides long. Its record names the gene SNORA75. It matches the Rfam family "Small nucleolar RNA SNORA75". Rfam says of the family: U23 belongs to the H/ACA class of snoRNAs. snoRNAs bind a number of proteins (including dyskerin, Gar1p and Nop10p in the case of the H/ACA class) to form snoRNP complexes. This class are thought to guide the sites of modification of uridines to pseudouridines by forming direct base pairing interactions with substrate RNAs. NCBI's taxonomy places the organism in Eukaryota, Metazoa, Chordata, Mammalia, Rodentia, Dipodidae. The record is from Ensembl.
AUCUAUUCUUUGAGCUCCUUUCUGUCAACUGGUGACAGUUUAUGGAUCUGCAUGAGAAGGAAGGAUUUUACAGAACUAGUAUGACCUUACCUUCUGUUUACACAGAAGUACAUUUGACUAUUUUGUGAGACAUUC